AUAAAGCUUAUUGGAGUUGACAAAUGCAGCGGAAAAUAUCAUCUUCAUUCCACCCCGCGUGCUAUCGAGUUUGUAUUCGAAUUCGUAUACUGGGGUGGGCAUGGACAGGUACUUGAGAUUUUUUGGUCACCCAACUUAGGUUUUUCGGUCAGGAGUACUCACUCUCGGUCUCAUGAUGGUCGGGUACCCAUGAGGCAUGACAAGGGCUCGGGUUCCUGAAUUUCGAGUACCCGCGGAUAUUUCUCCAUUCGGCUUGGAUGAGUUUAUCGACGACAAACUGAGGAGGACCGAAUUCUGCAAGGCUCUUUAUACGAACAGGAUUCACUACAACCCCGACAUUG
Tarenaya hassleriana is the source of this 341-nucleotide long non-coding RNA. RefSeq lists it as uncharacterized. The record is from RefSeq and is a predicted model, not a curated record. Lineage: Eukaryota; Viridiplantae; Streptophyta; Magnoliopsida; Brassicales; Cleomaceae. The transcript is spliced from 3 exons.